GAUGAACGCUGGCGGCGUGCCUAAUACAUGCAAGUCGAGCGAACGGACGAGAAGCUUGCUUCUCUGAUGUUAGCGGCGGACGGGUGAGUAACACGUGGAUAACCUACCUAUAAGACUGAGAUAACUUCGGGAAACCGGAGCUAAUACCGGAUGAUAUUUUGAACCGCAUGGUUCAAAAGUGAAAGACGGUCUUGCUGUCACUUAUAGAUGGAUCCGCGCUGCAUUAGCUAGUUGGUAAGGUAACGGCUUACCAAGGCAACGAUGCAUAGCCGACCUGAGAGGGUGAUCGGCCACACUGGAACUGAGACACGGUCCAGACUCCUACGGGAGGCAGCAGUAGGGAAUCUUCCGCAAUGGGCGAAAGCCUGACGGAGCAACGCCGAGUGAGUGAUGAAGGUCUUCGGAUCGUAAAACUCUGUUAUUAGGGAAGAACAUAUGUGUAAGUAACUGUGCACAUCUUGACGGUACCUAAUCAGAAAGCCACGGCUAACUACGUG
This 497-nucleotide ribosomal RNA is filed under the name uncultured bacterium. Its description in RNAcentral is "partial 16S ribosomal RNA". It matches the Rfam family "Bacterial small subunit ribosomal RNA", at positions 28 to 507 of the family's 1533-position model. The record is from RNAcentral.